UACGUAGGCUUGAAGACGCCCCUCCACAAGCUUCUUCAAACUCCUCUCUUUUCUCUAGAAACUCCUUUCUCUCUUUUUCCCAAAAAAAAAAAAAAAAAAAAAAACUGGACCCGACUUCCUAUUUACCCAAACCCGAAAAAAGCAUGGUACUCAACACCGCAAUCAAACCCACCGCCACCACCAUCAAAUUCCUCUGUAGCUACGGCGGAAAAAUCCUCCCCCGUUAUCCCGACGGUAAACUCCGUUACCUCGGCGGCGAAACCCGUGUCCUCGCCGUUGACCGCUCCAUUUCCUUUUCCGAGCUAUUGUUGAAGCUCGGAGAGUUGUGUGGUACACCUGUGAGCCUUCGUUGCCAGUUGCCGUCGGAGGAUCUAGACGCUCUGGUAUCGAUCACCUCCGAUGAGGACCUCGCGAAUCUCAUCGAGGAGUACGACAAAGCCGCGUCGCCGCCUUCGUCUCUGAAGAUAAGAGCGUUUCUCUCGCCGCCGAAACCUCCCAGAAAAUCAAUCUCUUCUCCUCCUCUUCCUCCUCCAAUCCCUAAAUCCUCGACGUCUUCAUCGAAAUCGUCGUCGUCGUCGUCGUCGUGUUCCACUUCGUCCCCGUCUCACAGUCCCACCGGCACCAACCCGAGGUUUUCGGCGCCGGUGGCCGACGUGUGCCUCCGCCAGAUCUCGCCGCCGGUCGUUCCGUUUCAGAGAUCCGCGGCGAAGAUCAAGCCUCACUGUGCUUACCGUGCUCAUGGAAACCCUAGCAACAUCUACCUCAUCCACAACGGGAAUCACUGGCAAUAGCACCAAAUCAGAUGGACUAAAAUCCAACAAAUCCAAAAAAAAAAAACGUUAACGAAGAGAGUGGAAUGAAACAAGUGGGAGGAUGAUUAAGAUUUGGCAGUAAAAUCACGUGAUUUCAACUUCUAGAUGAUGGAUGUGUGUGCUAGAUGGGCCAUGACUAAACUGGUGACGAUGUAUGGUGUGUACAUUUUGACCAGAUUCCACCAACUGACGCUGCGAAGGCACUGGAGCAAAAUAGUUCUUUUCACAUUUAAAAAAAAUAUAUAUAUAUAUAAUUCCAAUAGCGACGGAGAUAAAGAUGGAAGUAUUGGAGUUGGCCCGGUUGGGAGAUGGGACCAUUUGGGAAUCAUCUAGGCCCUCUAUAUCCCAAUUUAUUGAACAAAGUGAUUGAGCCAUAAAAAUUAAAAUAAAUUGCUAAAUAAAAUUAUAAAGUAAGAGCACUCUAAAAAUAAAAAAAUAAAAAAAUAAAUAAAUAGUCGGAUCGGAAUGAGACCUAUUUCGUUUUGAGAGAAGGGAUUUUUUGGCGGAAAGAAUCAAAGAUAGGCUCUCCACUCAUGUAGCCUUCAGAAGGUAGAUUCCCAUUGUUGUUUCAACUUUGGAGAGAUUAUAUGAGAUCUUAUUACCCCCAAUUAAUCAAAAGAGCCAAACAAGAUUUAAAGUGAGUUUAAUCAUUGUUAUCUUCUGAGACAAAGGAAAAAGUGGUUUAAGAUUUAUCCUGUCCCACCUUAUGUAAUUUCUAUUAGUUCUUUGAUAAUAUAAAUUAAUAAUGCCACCAAAAUCAUGAUCCUUAGGUGUCUUCUUUGAUCCUUUUAAACAAAAAGAAUUCAUUUCUUUUCACAAAGGGUUAACCUGUGAGAGAGAGAUAGAGAGAGGCAGGCUGUAAUGAAAUCCUGUAUGGAAAGGUUGGCAAUGCCAUGGAUCCCACGAUGACUACCAAUGUCUAAUCGGCGUUCAAGAUUAUAUGUAAUGUGAGGUCGCUGUUAUGUGAGCGGGCAAGAACUAUAUAGGCUAGUAAUGGGUCACACAGCGUGUGAGUGCUACUGAAAGCAACUACAGGAUGUUUAAGAUAAGAGAGAGAUUGGGACCAUUGGACUAGUAGUACACAUGGUUGGAACGAACGAAAUGUGUAUUAAAAUAUAUAUAUUGGGAAUAUUCAGUGCAAAAGCCACAGCCUUCAUUGUUUUGGAAGGAUGUGGUGUGAUAGCA
Molecule: RNA transcript, 1997 nt
Organism: Quercus lobata
Lineage: Eukaryota; Viridiplantae; Streptophyta; Magnoliopsida; Fagales; Fagaceae
Gene name: Octicosapeptide/Phox/Bem1p family protein
Exons: 4
Source: RefSeq, a predicted model, not a curated record